CUGAUUCAGAUAGCCAUGCACGUCUAAGUACAAACUAAAUGAUGGUGAAACUGCAAAUGGCUCAUUACAACGGUUAUGAUGUACCCGGGAGUUCCGAUGGAUAUUUCCAGUAACACUAGAACUAAUACAUGUCCCUGCGUUUAUUAGUUUCGCACAGUCCGUCGCUGAGUCAUGGUAAACAGUUGAUCGACUCGACGUCCCGGAACAGUUUCCGCCCCAUCAGCUUCGAUGGUUGGGUAUUGGCCUACCAUUGCAACAACGGGUAACGAGGAAUUAGGGUUUGAUUUCGGAGAGGGAGCCUGAGAAACGGCUACCACAUCUACGGAUGGCAGCAGGCGCGCAAAUUACCCAAUGCAGACACUGUGAGGUAGUGACGAGAAAUAAUAAAGCGGGACUUCUGUUUCGCUAUUAUAAUGAGGAAUAACCAAAGGUCAUUCCGAUUAGCAACUGAUGGGAAAGUCUGGUGCCAGCAGCCGCGGUAAUACCAGCGUCAGUAGCAU
This 500-nucleotide ribosomal RNA is filed under the name uncultured Myrionecta. Its description in RNAcentral is "SSU rRNA". It matches the Rfam family "Eukaryotic small subunit ribosomal RNA", at positions 34 to 600 of the family's 1831-position model. Lineage: Eukaryota; Ciliophora; Litostomatea; Cyclotrichida; Mesodiniidae. The record is from RNAcentral.